Molecule: long non-coding RNA, 427 nt
Filed under: Rattus norvegicus (Norway rat)
Lineage: Eukaryota; Metazoa; Chordata; Mammalia; Rodentia; Muridae
Description: long non-coding RNA NONRATT032588
Source: RNAcentral
GACAAUGAUGUAGCUGAUGAUGAUUUUAUGGCCAGGAACAUACCAGCUUCUGGCAAAGGACUUGAUCAAGAACUGAUUUGAAAACACACCUUGAAGUCAUCGAAGAAGAGAUCCUGAGAAUCUUUCAGGGGAAGUGAGAGCACAGUUGGAUGGUUUUCAUUUGACCAAUAAGGAAACCUGCAGCGGUAAUUUGUUAAUCAGCCCUAAGCUCACCGCUUCUGCAACUCAACUAUUAAGGAAAAGGCCUCAUUGGAGUGUUUUGGAAUGCUAUGAUUUUGAAGGGAAUGACCUGAAAAUACAGAUGGACACUAGGGUUCUACAUACUCUUGGGACUCACUGCAGCCAUUUUCUACAGCAUGUCCUACCUUGGGGAUCUGAUACAUAAUGUGUUCAGGGCUACUGUAUGAAUGUUCAGCAAUGAGAAAAG